Molecule: long non-coding RNA, 1624 nt
Organism: Bos taurus (domestic cattle)
Lineage: Eukaryota; Metazoa; Chordata; Mammalia; Artiodactyla; Bovidae
Source: Ensembl
GGAAAAGGGGUUGAUGCCCAGUGGGAUCCUUCAUGCUAGCCCAGUAGUAUCAGGGACCCCACCGCACAGGUCACACUGUGAGCUUUUGCAUAUAGGCUUUGUGGGUAAGACUGCCUUCACCUUGGCAUUCAGCCCAGGGUCCAGCUGACAAGGGAGGGCAUGGAAAUCAAGUACAAUGGGCACAGGAAUGAAAAAGGCAAGAAAGGCCUGUGUGGUGCCUCUCUGAGGAGGUGCUGCUGCUAAGUCACUUCAGUCGUGUCUGACUGUGCGACCCCAUAGACGGCAGCCCACCAGGCUCCCCUGUCCCUGGGAUUUUCCAGGCAAGAACACUGGAGUGGGUUGCCAUUUCCUUCUCCAAUGCAUGAAAGUGAAAAGUGAAAGUGAAGUCACUCAGUCGUGUCCGACCCUCAGUGACCCCAUGGACUGCAGCCUUUCAGGCUCCUCCGUCCAUGGGAUUUUCCAGGCAAGAGUACUGGAGUGGGGUGCCAUUGCCUUCUCCGUGAGGGGGUGCUGGCUACUCCCAAAGCGAACUUGUCAAGUAUGAGGCAGAGAGGGGAAAGGAGGGCCUUUGUUCCCUCUUGAGCAAAGAACCUACAAGAAAAUAUAAUAUGGUUAAAGUAAAUUUCUAUCCAACCAAACUUUGGGGGUGGGGGUAGUUUUUCUGUUUGCUUUCGCUUUUUUGUCCCGAGCUUUGUGGAAUCGGGCUUCCCUGGCAGACUCUUUACCAUCUGAGCCAUUAGGGAAUCCCUGGACCCAGGGAAUACCCUUGAUUUCAUUUAUUUCCAAGGAAACAACUGCACACACAUGGUUAAAAAUGAAAUAGAAAAGAAGGCAGCAGUUUCCCACUCCAUUCUUUUCUAACCACUUUCCAGGGGAGCAACCAGUUUUUUAAACUCUGCUUUCAUCGUGGAUAACUUUAUUCCUCUAAAUGAUGAUUAUACGAUGCCAUAUGGGUCCAGUUAUCUGCAACAAGAUGGUGACAAGCGCACUGCCCACACCUUUGGGAAUUCUUGAGCUCUAGCUCUGAGCCAGACACUGAGCACACCUCUGUGCCCUUAGGGGAGCAGGUAAACAUGCUCUCAGCUGUACCAGGGAUGUUUUCAUCUUGUCAGGUUAUGUGUGGUUGUGGGGCGGCCAAAGUAAGAACGGAGUGGGUGUGUUUUGGAUACCCAGUGACUGAAAACCCUCAUUGACAGGUUCUUGGCUCACCUUGAAUACUGUUUCUACCAAAAAGGCAAGAUAAAUGCUUCUCCCCCACUCCCAUUUAAUAUAAUAGUUUCCUCUGAUUGUUUUGAUAUCUCUCUGAGUGUCAAUAUGGACUCAAGGAUUUUUUAUAUAUCUACUGUGACUUAUCUGUGACAGUUGCUAUUUUUGAUGCUCAAAUUGUCCCAUAUUUGUUGUGCAGGUUUUCCUUGUACUUUUCUCGUCCAGGCCUGAAACUUUUAGAUUAGUGGGGAAAAGUAUUUAGAAAAUGAAAUCCACAUUCCAGAGUUGAUCGUUGUCUCUGGGAUGUUAGUGUGGCUUUUGGACUCACAGACAACGUAUUUUGAAAACUGUGAGUUUGAGAUGGGAGUGGUUGCACACAAUGUGAAUAUGCUUAAUGCCACUGAACUGUAUACCUUCA